This is a long non-coding RNA of Aedes aegypti (yellow fever mosquito), 941 nucleotides long. RefSeq lists it as uncharacterized. The transcript has 4 exons. Lineage: Eukaryota; Metazoa; Arthropoda; Insecta; Diptera; Culicidae. The record is from RefSeq and is a predicted model, not a curated record.
CCGCUUGUGUCCAUGGUCGAGAUCGAACGGUUGGAGGAAGCCGUUCGGAAGGAUUUCGGCGUGAGGGAUCAGUAUGUACGUUAUCUGUCCCUGAAAAAGCCCGCCAUCGAUGGACGUGACCAACUUUUUCUCGUACCUCUUCACGGACGACGCACUCAUGGGUUACAACUACUCCGGCACGAACAACAUCGGUGAGCAGAAGUUGCCGAUGAGAAACUACGAAAUCUUCAUCGAUUGCAUGAUCGAGGCCUGGGCUGAUCAUGGACUGACACACAAGGCGCUGGAGGAGAAAAUUAAAGUGACCGUGAAGAAGCUGACCGCUCGGCGACGGAUGCAAAAGUUUCGACGGCGAAAGGCGAUGCAAUUUUGAACGUUGUUGAAUAAACACUGAUAUGUUUCUAGAGAUGUUGCGCAUUUUAACUAACUGUUUCAAAUCGAUAAUCAACUUGUCGUAACUUUAACUGAAAAUUGUUCGAAAAUUUCCAGAUCCGCUGAAACGAGCUAGGAAGAUAUUCAAGAGGACGGUGGAGCCAGAUGAGUGUGCCGCCGCGGAUGACGAACAACGGUACAUGUUCAUAGUUAGCAGAAAGGGAGGCGUCCUGCUGGUGCAUGACAACCACAUAUAUCGGUCCAAUCUGCGACGCCAGGGCCAGCACAAGAAUAUACUGUACUGGGAGUGUUUGCACAAUCGCUCCGAAAAGUGUCGCGGCCGUCUGAAAAGCGAAGGGAACAAUCUGUUCAUUUCGAAUACGAAUGCUACACAUAACCAUCCGUCAGACUUGGACCGAAUCAAUCAAGCUAAGGUCGGAGGAGAGCUCACAUAUCGUACAUUCUAUUCGUUAUUUAAGUGAUACAUUUAGUUCUUUAUAUAAAAUUAUUUCCAUUUUUGCUAAUAUACAGUGACGAAGAAAGUCGAUAAAAUCUAGUACUGCAAAGUCAAA